ACAAAACAAGUUUUAAGUUUGAAAGAUGCAAUUGCAUCACUCAAAGAUGAUCCCGCGUUGUAUUAGCUAGUUGGUGAGGUAAAGGCUCACCAAGGCGAUGAUACAUAGCCGACCUGAGAGGGUGAUCGGCCACAUUGGGACUGAGACACGGCCCAAACUCCUUAACGGGAAGUGCAGCAGUAGGGAAUCUCUCGGCAGUGGACGAAGGUUCUGAUCGAGCCAACGCCGGCGUGAGUGAAGAAGGAUGUUUCGGAUCGUAAAACUCUGUUGGUAGAGAAAGAACGUUGGUGAGAGUGGAAAGCUCAUCAAGUGACGGUAACUACCCAGAAAAGGGACGGCUAACUACGUGCCAGCAGCCGCGGUAAUACGUAGGUCCCGAGCGUUGUCCGGAUUUAUUGGGCGUAAAGCGAGCGCAGGUGGUUUAUUAAGUCUGGUGUAAAAGGGCAGUGGCUCAAACCAUUGUAUGCAUUGGAAACUGGUAGACUUGAGUGCAGGAGAGGAGAGUGGAAUUUCCAUGUGUAGCGGUGAAAUGCGUAGAUAUAUGGAGGAACACCGGUGGCGAAAGCGGCUCUCUGGCCUGUAACUGACACUGAGGCUCGAAAGCGUGGGGGAGCAAACAGGAUUAGAUACCCUGGUAGUCCACGCCGUAAACGAUGAGUGCUAGAUGUAGGGAGCUAUAAGUUCUCUGUAUCGCAGCUAACGCAAUAAGCACUCCGCCUGGGGAGUACGACCGCAAGGGUUGAAACUCAAAGGAAUUGACGGGGGGCCCGCCACAAGCGGUGGAGCAUGGUGGUUUAAUUUCGAAGCAACGCGAAGAACCUUACCAGGGUCUUGACAUACUCGUGGCUAUUCCUAGAAGAUAGGGAGUUCCUUCGGGACACGGGAUAACAGGUGGUGCAUGGUUGUCGUCAGCUCGUGUCGUGAGAUGUUGGGUUAAGUCCCGCCACGGAGCCGCAACCCCUAUUGUUAGUUGCAUCAUUAAGUUGGGUACCUCUAACGAGACUGCCGGUGCAUAAACCGGAGGAAGUUGGGGAUGGACGUUCAAAUCAUCAUGCCCCUUAUGACCUGGGCUACACACGUGCUACAAUGGAUGGUACAACGAGUCGCGAGACAGUGAUGUUUAGCUAAUCUCUUAAAACCAAUUCUC
This 1147-nucleotide ribosomal RNA is filed under the name Lactococcus lactis. RNAcentral describes it as "bacterial SSU rRNA". It matches the Rfam family "Bacterial small subunit ribosomal RNA", at positions 182 to 1289 of the family's 1533-position model. The record is from RNAcentral. Lineage: Bacteria; Bacillati; Bacillota; Bacilli; Lactobacillales; Streptococcaceae.